GAAUCUGCCUUUAGGUCCGGGACAACCACUGGAAACGGUGGCUAAUACCGGAUAAGCCGAAAGGUGAAAGAUUAAUUGCCUUUUGAUGAGCUCGCGGCCGAUUAGUUAGUUGGUGGGGUAAGAGCCUACCAAGACGGCGAUCGGUAGCUGGUCUGAGAGGAUGAUCAGCCACACUGGGACUGAGACACGGCCCAGACUCCUACGGGAGGCAGCAGUGGGGAAUUUUCCGCAAUGGGCGAAAGCCUGACGGAGCAAUACCGCGUGAGGGAGGAAGGCUCUUGGGUUGUAAACCUCUUUUCUCAGGGAAGAAUGAUGACGGUACCUGAGGAAUAAGCAUCGGCUAACUCCGUGCCAGCAGCCGCGGUAAUACGGAGGAUGCAAGCGUUAUCCGGAAUGAUUGGGCGUAAAGCGUCCGCAGGUGGCAAUGUAAGUCUGCUGUCAAAGCGUCUGGCUCAACCAGAUAAAGGCAGUGGAAACUACAUAGCUAGAGUAAGGUAGGGGUAGAGGGAAUUCCUGGUGUAGCGGUGAAAUGCGUAGAGAUCAGGAAGAACACCGGUGGCGAAAGCGCUCUGCUGGACCUUAACUGACACUGAGGGACGAAAGCUAGGGGAGCG
RNAcentral lists this ribosomal RNA (614 nucleotides) under uncultured cyanobacterium. Its description in RNAcentral is "bacterial SSU rRNA". It matches the Rfam family "Bacterial small subunit ribosomal RNA", at positions 122 to 770 of the family's 1533-position model. The record is from RNAcentral. Lineage: Bacteria; Bacillati; Cyanobacteriota.